Molecule: non-coding RNA, 118 nt
Organism: Picea glauca (white spruce)
Lineage: Eukaryota; Viridiplantae; Streptophyta; Pinopsida; Pinales; Pinaceae
Source: Rfam
AUGUACAUGCCUACAACAUGAAUGCACCGAAUCCCAUUAGAACUCUACACUUAAGCGCGGUUGGGCUAGAGUAGUACUAGGAUGGGUGACCUUUCGACAAGUCCUAGUGUUUUACAUG